GAUGAACGCUGGCGGCGUGCUUAACACAUGCAAGUCGAACGGUGAAGCUCCAGCUUGCUGGAGUGGAUCAGUGGCGAACGGGUGAGUAACACGUGAGCAACCUGCCCCUGACUCUGGGAUAACAGCCGGAAACGGCUGCUAAUACCGGAUAUGCACCAUGAACGCAUGUUCUGUGGUGGGAAAGAUUUUUCGGUUGGGGAUGGGCUCGCGGCCUAUCAGCUUGUUGGUGAGGUAAUGGCUCACCAAGGCGUCGACGGGUAGCCGGCCUGAGAGGGUGACCGGCCACACUGGGACUGAGACACGGCCCAGACUCCUACGGGAGGCAGCAGUGGGGAAUAUUGCACAAUGGGCGAAAGCCUGAUGCAGCAACGCCGCGUGGGGGAUGACGGCCUUCGGGUUGUAAACCUCUUUUAGCAGGGAAGAAGCGAGAGUGACGGUACCUGCAGAAAAAGCGCCGGCUAACUACGUG
RNAcentral lists this ribosomal RNA (469 nucleotides) under uncultured bacterium. Its description in RNAcentral is "partial 16S ribosomal RNA". It matches the Rfam family "Bacterial small subunit ribosomal RNA", at positions 28 to 507 of the family's 1533-position model. The record is from RNAcentral.